This is a long non-coding RNA of Quercus lobata, 2627 nucleotides long. RefSeq lists it as uncharacterized. Lineage: Eukaryota; Viridiplantae; Streptophyta; Magnoliopsida; Fagales; Fagaceae. The record is from RefSeq and is a predicted model, not a curated record. The transcript is spliced from 2 exons.
UCCGUUUCUAAUCUUAAAAAAAAUAAAAAAGGUGAAAGGAUGUGACUUUAAAACAUCAAGAGGUUCAAUUUCAUUCUCUGAAUUCUAUUUUUUUUUCCUUCUUUUAUCUUCAAUCCUUAUAUGAUGGUUGCUGUUGAAAGGUAGAGACAAAGUCAUGUUUUGUUUUUUAUUUUUGAAAUUUAGGCGUUAAUUAUGAUUUACAUGUGGGUAUUAUGGUUCAAUUGGUUAUGAUUUAGAUUUUUUGGUUAGGAAUAGUUUUGUUUUGCGUAUUUUGGAUGAGAAUCGAUUUUGCAUAUUAGGGUUGUUUUGAUUUUGGAUUUCACCUUUUAAUUCAAAGAAAGAUGAAGUUUUGUUCUGCACACCUCAUGCACAGUCAAUUAUGAAUGUAUUUUAGCAUCAUUUAUUAUCAUGUUUGUGAGUUUUGCUUUGUUAAUUUGCAAAAUCUGUUUAUAUAACUCACAAAGAUGGCUAAACACGAACGAAGGAACUAGCGUGGAAUGGUAUGCAAGUGAGACACACAUAUGUCGAGGUAUAAAAAAAUGUGUGUUUAAGAUAGAGAUGAUACACUUAUAAUGUAAUUUGUCACGAUUUUGUAAACUUCUGGGCUCUUUUGGAAGUGGAAGAAGAAAAAAAACUGUAAUCUAAAUAAUUCUAUAAUUUUUUCCUUUUACUCAAUAUUAUAUUAGUUGCUGAUAAACACAAAAUUUAGUUGUUUUUAAUCUAGAACUCUGAAUUUUAUGGGUUUCAAAAUUCUGUAAUCAAAUAUGUUUUUUAAAAUUUAUUCAUUGUUAAAUGUUCUAUGCUCUCAUUCCUUUGUUCAUUGUGGUUCAUAGGAAUGGUAGAUGAGAAUAUCACAUUUUUCAGGUAAGUUUUAGAUCUGGUAUGAUUCAAGUUUAUAAUUUUUUUGUGAAGUUUCUAUUUUUAUUUUUUAAUCUAUGUUAGUUUUUUCCUGUGCACCAAUUUAGCAUAUGGGACCCUUUCUGAAAAUGGUCUUGAUUUUGGAUGCCAUAAUAAUUGCUAAUUUGCAACUGUCAAGACUUGAUUUAUGCAAAUUACUAAAUUUUUCCUGUUGAGAGAUUUCUUGAAUAUGAAAGUCAAUAGACCCAAGUUUAGAACAAGGCUGUCAAUGAUUGAAUAUAAUAUAGUAUUCUCUUCAGCAUUUUUAGUUGUUGACAGACCACGUCAGAAUCCAUGGGCACAGAUAUUGCAAUUCCUGUAGAACUGUAGCCAACUAUAACAUCUAUGUGGUCAUCAAUCAUACACUCUCUCUAUAUUGAACUGGUUUUCUCUAUACACAAAGUUUUUAAAUUGAAGACCAAAAAUUUGUCACCAUAAGAAAGCUAAGUUAGAAUUACUUAUUAGUGCUAUAGCUUACCCCUUUUUUUUCCAGCGGUGUCUCCAUAGGUGAUUCAUACAUUUAGAACCAAUAAUAAACAAGCAAAUUAGGUAGAUGAUGAAGAUGAUAAAAUGUUUCUUCCUUCAUGUUUAUGCAAUUGAAUAUGAGGCUUGAAUUGUUAUAUAUAGUACUAAUAAAUUACCUCAUAUCCCAUAAGUUGAUAAAUACUACAAAUUUCUCUAAGAUGCAUUCAGAGGAACAAUUAUUUCAAGACAGGUAAUGAGAUUCCAUUGUUGAGGAAUCUUAAUUCACCACAGAUGCAGGAAUCUUAAUUCACCACAGAUGCUCAACUUAGGACCCAAUAUGUUAGGAAUUCUCAACAAAGGGAACUUACAAAUCAAAACUAUACCAACUUUAUCAGUAUGAUUAUUAACUUUUUCAAGAAACUCAUUGUACCUAUCCUUGCAUGCAAACAGAUAUGAUAGGCUGCAUUAUUAAGAUCUGAUGGAUAAAUUCGACUUAGGCAAUAGAACUUCAAGGUCGUAUAACCUUGUGGUGGUGUAAGUAUGGUUAGUUAGUUGCUUCAUAUCAUUGUUAGUCGAAUCAAUUUUAGCUCUGAGCAUCACAAGAAGCUUUAAUUAACAUUGUUAGGCUAUUAAUAUGUGUAGGGUAAUUCACAGGGCCUAACUGUGUUCAGAGAAAAGGCUAUGCAGUUCCUUCUGUAGUAUCUAGCACCUGAGGAAAGUUCUGGUAUGCAGCAUUUAUCUGAAUUCAUCCUAUCAAAUCUUGGUGGAACAUAUGCUUGGACAGGGGAAACAUAUACCAUAGCAUGGUUGGUUGAAAAGGCCGGUUUAACCUCUCCAUAUCAUCAGAAUAUGAUAAGAAAUUUUAACUGGUUGGAUAAAAGCCUACAGGAUACUUCCACAGACACUUGGUGCAGCAAGGUUGCUAGAGGCAUCAUUAAUAUUGGGAAUCCUAUCUUCCAUGCGUCAGCGAAGGGAUGAAAGAGCAAAAUAAGAAAGGUGUCUUAGGCUUGUCUAACGAAAGUGCCCAAAUAGUAUAAGAUAUUCUGCUUGUGAGAUCUUACUGAAUGAAACUGAGCAAUUUUUGCAUCCUGGAUCAGUGCUUGAAGACAGGCUUCUAGCAUGUCUUUGCAGCUAUAAGUAUGCUUCCGGCAAAGCUAAUGCCUUUAACAUAAACAUCUCUAUGUAAUAACCAUUUUGCAGUAUCACAAAGCACAAAAGAUUUAAGAUUCAUCUCUACUAUAUAUGCAAAUGAUCAUUGACAUGAA